GGGCGCUUGGCACAGGGGUAGCGCGCACGCUUCGCAUCACUGAUUGCGUGAGGUCGUGGGUUCAAAUCCCACAGUGUCCA
This 80-nucleotide transfer RNA is filed under the name Schizophyllum commune H4-8. RNAcentral describes it as "tRNA-Ala". It matches the Rfam family "tRNA". Rfam says of the family: Transfer RNA (tRNA) molecules are approximately 80 nucleotides in length. Lineage: Eukaryota; Fungi; Basidiomycota; Agaricomycetes; Agaricales; Schizophyllaceae. The record is from Rfam by way of RNAcentral.